GACGAACGCUGGCGGCGUGCUUAACACAUGCAAGUCGAACGGAAAGGCCUCUUUCGGGGGGUACUCGAGUGGCGAACGGGUGAGUAACACGUGAGUAACCUGCCCUUGACUUUGGGAUAACUUCAGGAAACUGGGGCUAAUACCGGAUAGGAGCUCCUGCUGCAUGGUGGGGGUUGGAAAGUUUCGGCGGUUGGGGAUGGACUCGCGGCUUAUCAGCUUGUUGGUGGGGUAGUGGCUUACCAAGGCUUUGACGGGUAGCCGGCCUGAGAGGGUGACCGGCCACAUUGGGACUGCGAGACGGCCCAGACUCCUACGGGAAGCAGCAGUGGGGAAUAUUGCACAAUGGGUGGAAGCCUGAUGCAGCAACGCCGUGUGCGGGAUGACGGCCUUCGGGUUGGAAACCGCUUUCGCUCAUGACGAAGCUUUGUGUGACGGUAGUGGGUAAAGAAGCACCGGCUAACUACGUG
RNAcentral lists this ribosomal RNA (467 nucleotides) under uncultured bacterium. Its description in RNAcentral is "partial 16S ribosomal RNA". It matches the Rfam family "Bacterial small subunit ribosomal RNA", at positions 28 to 507 of the family's 1533-position model. The record is from RNAcentral.